RNAcentral lists this transfer RNA (73 nucleotides) under Singulisphaera rosea. Its description in RNAcentral is "tRNA-His". It matches the Rfam family "tRNA". From Rfam's summary of the family: Transfer RNA (tRNA) molecules are approximately 80 nucleotides in length. Their secondary structure includes four short double-helical elements and three loops (D, anti-codon, and T loops). Further hydrogen bonds mediate the characteristic L-shaped molecular structure. tRNAs have two regions of fundamental functional importance: the anti-codon, which is responsible for specific mRNA codon recognition, and the 3' end, to which the tRNAs corresponding amino acid is attached (by aminoacyl-tRNA synthetases). tRNAs cope with the degeneracy of the genetic code in two manners: having more than one tRNA (with a specific anti-codon) for a particular amino acid; and 'wobble' base-pairing, i.e. permitting non-standard base-pairing at the 3rd anti-codon position. The record is from RNAcentral. RNAcentral also lists the same sequence under 4 other names. Lineage: Bacteria; Pseudomonadati; Planctomycetota; Planctomycetia; Isosphaerales; Isosphaeraceae.
GUGGGUGUGGCCUAGCGGUUAAGGCGCCAGAUUGUGGAUCUGGAUAUCGCGGGUUCGAAUCCCGUCAUCCACC